AAAGAGGCCCAUCAGGAGACUGUGUCCUCAGGGAGUCCCGAGAAGGACACAUUCCAGAUGGAGGAUCUGCUCUGUCCACACAGCUGCCGAGUGAGGGGCCCUGGUCCUACUUCACAGCUCACCAAACCCUUGGAAUUUCCUGAGUGCUGAGAGUGACAAAUGUUCAUGAGUCACUCAGGCUGAGGGGAGGCCCACAAAGGAAAAAACGGAGGCCAGUGAGGAACUAAGGCCCUCAGUCCAACAGCCCUAAGGAACUGAAUCCUGCCAACAACCAUGUGAGUGAGUUUGGAUGUGGAGCCUCCCUGAGCUGAACCUUCAAAUAGGACCUUGACUCUGGCCAAGUUCAGCCUGGAGAGAGACCCCGACAGAGGACAGCAAGGCUGUGUCUAGGUUCCUGACCCAUAGAAACUGUGAUAACAUGUGUUUAAGGUAGCGAUGGAUCAUCUCCUCUGUGGAAUGGACUUGAAGUGCCUGCCUCCAGGGUUGCUGCAGGAAUCUAAUGGGAGUGUAUCUGGAGAGGCUUUGAAAGCUAGAGCAUCACACAAGUGCUGUUAUUAGCUGAGCAUCUUCCCCAGGAGUAGAUUUCAUCUCAAGAAACCACUUUCUUUGCUCAUCCAUAAGAAAGAUCUAUCCAUAAGAAGCACCUCCUCAUGCAUUAGACUUUUACUAUGAGAUAGCAGCAGUUCAGUCACGUCUUUGGGCUCCACUUCUAAUUCUAGUUCUCUUGCUGUUUCUACUACAUCUGCAGUGACUUCUUCCACUGAAGUCUUCAACCCCUCAACAUCAUCCAUGAGGGCUGAAAUUAAGUCCUUCCACAUGCUGGUUAAUGUUCAUACUUGGACCUCUUCCUAUGAGUCAUGUAUGUUCUUAAUGGCAUCUAGAAUGGGGAUUCCUUUCCAGAAAGUUUUCAAUUAUUUGCCCAGAUCCAUCAGAGGAAUCACUACCUAUGACAGCUAUAGUCUUAUGAAAUGUAUUUCUCAAAUAAUUAGACUUGAAAAUCAAAAGGAAAAAACAACCAUUCAAAAUUUAUGGGUUGCUACAAAAGCAGUUCUUAGAGGGAAAUUCGUAGCAACACAGGCUUUCCUCAAAAAAGGAAAAUCUCAAAUCAACAAUUUAACCUAUUACCUAAAGGAAUUAGAAAAAGAAGAACAAACAAAACCUAAAGUCAGCAGAAGGAAGGAAAUCAUAAAGAUUGGAGAGGAAGUCGAUAAAAUAGAGAUUCAAAAAAACAACAGAGGAGUUCCCGAUGUGGCACAGUGGUUAACGAAUCCAACUAGGAACCAUGAGGUUGUGAGUUCGAUCCCUGGCCUUGCUCAGUGGGUUAAGGAUCUGGCGUUGCCAUGAGCUGUGGUGUAGGUCGCAGACGUGGCUCGGAUCUGACAUUGCUGUGGCUGUGGCUGUGGCAGGCAGCUACAGCUCCGAUUAGACCCCUAGCCUGGGAACCUACAUAUGCUACUGGAGCAGCUCAAGAAGAGGCAAAAAGACAAUCAAUCAAUCAAUCAAAUCAAAUCAAAUCAAUAAAACCAAGAUCUGGUUCUUUGAAAGGGUAAACAAAAUUGACAAACCUCUGGCCAGAAUCACCAAGAAGAGGAGAGACAAAACCCAAAUAAACAAAAUAAGAAA
Phacochoerus africanus (Common warthog) is the source of this 1623-nucleotide long non-coding RNA. RefSeq lists it as uncharacterized. Lineage: Eukaryota; Metazoa; Chordata; Mammalia; Artiodactyla; Suidae. The record is from RefSeq and is a predicted model, not a curated record. The transcript is spliced from 5 exons.